Anas platyrhynchos (mallard) is the source of this 217-nucleotide non-coding RNA. The record is from RefSeq and is a predicted model, not a curated record. Lineage: Eukaryota; Metazoa; Chordata; Aves; Anseriformes; Anatidae.
GGUCCUGAACAUCACGUCAAGAAGCGCAGGAAUAUAUACCUGUGGGUACCAGCAGAGGAAUGAGAUGAAACAGAGGAGGAGCUCUGCCCUCAGUGCUUGCCAAAUCCUGGAUGUCCCUGGUGCAGCUGCUGGCGUGACCACGCAGGACUUCUGCAGCUCCCCAGGCAAUGUGGUGAGUUCCCCAGCAAGUCCAUCACCCCCAGGUGAGAGAUUCCCU